This 29213-nucleotide long non-coding RNA is filed under the name Setaria viridis. Its description in RNAcentral is "long non-coding RNA (SVIR_LNC002036)". The record is from RNAcentral. Lineage: Eukaryota; Viridiplantae; Streptophyta; Magnoliopsida; Poales; Poaceae.
CUAGUCGUAUAUGCCCGUGCGUUGCUACGGGUAAAACAACUAUCAAAUUUAAUCAUAUCAUGCAAAAGGACCUAAAUCAUACAAUGUCAAGUUAAUAGACUUAGAAGAAUGAGCUUACAUGGAGCGAGAUCAUUUAAAAUGUAAUGUCAACUACAAUUAGCAUGAUUUAAGAAGUAGGAAUAGAAAGGCAUAAUAGUCUUUUGAACUCAGUUCCGAAGAGAGAAAAGUAUACAUAAGUCACACAAAAUAUUCUAUUUUUUCUUGAAUUAAUGGUUUCAUGGUUCUUGCAAUGCUCUCUGUGGCUCUCUCUGUGCCCCACCCUCCAAUGACAUUUGGCUAGGCAGCUCAUAAUUGGGAGCACCAUUAUUGACAUGCCAUACUGAACCAAGCCAUUUAGGUAUGGCCUUGUGAAUGUAAGAAAAUUCUUUCUUUCUAGACAACAUAUGAAAACUUGAAAACUGGCAUUAAUCUGCAAGAUUAUAGAAGAAAGGCAGAUAUAAGUAGAACUUAUGCAAUCAGAUUAUAUCCAGAAUGUUACCAUGAAAGCUUUAUGCAGUUGCAUGAACGUAAGGGCCUAACAGUGCAGUGGCCAAUGAGGAUGGUUCAUGAACUAAGGGCAACCAAAUAAUUUGAGUGAUACAAAGUGAUUUAUGAACAAAUACCAAUAUUUUGCAGAUCCCAAUUAUGCAUCAAUGAAAGCAAUAAUUUUAACAAAUGACUCCUCCUUAUGCCUGCCUAGCUAGUUAGAAUAUACUGUAGAGAAAUAAGGUUAUUAGCAAUCAUAAAUAAUAAAAAUUUUGGAAAAUAUUACUUGCAGGUCUUGUGUCCUCAAAGGAGAUAGAUGAGGCAACAACCUUGAAUGGAAGAACAGAAACUGAACAAACUAAAAGAUUUUGCAAUUUACAUCAAGGAGAGGACCUCAUACAAAUGACCAUGGUCCUGAUUGGUUUAGAAGGAUACAUGCAACGGAAAUCUCAUGACAGCCAGCAACUCGACAUAGAAAUGAUGGUUUAGGUGGCAAGCUUCCUUGUAAACUUUAGGUGGAAACAGUGAUGUGGAGAUGCAGGGUUAACUACAUCUAAUAAUUACAAACAACUUUAGGUGUAAGCUCCUGAUGCAGAGUUAACUACAUCUACAUGGUAAUGAUCUACAUGUUACCACCAUUACUAUGGAUCAGAAAUUUAAACCUGAAAGCAAAUAAAAUGUAGGCACAAUUUAUCCAAGCAACUUCUCACUUCCUUCUUUUCUGCUUGAGACAACAUCUCCAAAUCCCCCUCAACAGAUCUGCAAUAAGUUGAUCCAUGUUAUUUCAAUGAGCAAGGUAUGCUUUUAGAAAAGUAGUAUAGUUUGCCAAUGAAAGGAAAAUAUUUCAGAUGUUAUUAACAUGGAAAAGAAAUAAAGUGUAGAUGAAUCAAUAACCAAAAAUCAGUUCAUCUACAAGCAUUCUCUAAUAGGUAAGAUGGACACUGGUAAUUUUGAUGGAUGCACCGGAGCAGGACCUAAAGGAUUCCGUUUCGGGAGGAAAUUAUCUACUCAGACAUAAUAUUAAAACAGAGUUUGCACAAAAGAAAUCUUUCUUGAUUAUUUUUUCCUGCUAAAUGUGCUUGCUUUUAUGCUUCAGUUUUGCAAAAAAAAAAUAGUUUACAAGCCUUAAAUCCUUGCAUAGGCAAAAGAUACCGACAAGGUAGCAAGAGCAUUAUGCCCCACUUAUAUUUAUAAAAGUAGGACAUGUUAGGCAGUUCAGACUUCAGACAAAAGAAUUAACCAAGUACCGUAUCAUCAAUAAAGGUAGAACUAAAUAAUAAACUUUAACAUAAAGUACUAAAGAUCAUGGUUCUUCAAAUGAUCGCUCCUCCUAUUUUGGCAAGUUUUUUUGUUGACUUGUUCUUUCAGAAAUUGUGGGUGGCCAAUUACAGCCCAUAUUUGGUGAAACAAGUACACCAAUCCUUUGUAACGGAGGUCAAUGCAGUAUCCAAAUUCAUACUACAAUAAAGUAAUCUUUUUACAGUCAAAUGUUAAAUAGGUAGGCGGCUUAGAUUAGAUAUGAAGGAAGUAAAGAUGAAUGUAUUCAUUUGAUAAGUGAUCAAGAAGAAAUAAAAUUGGUAAAGGACGGCUUCAUAACUAAAAGUCUCAAACCUGAUACAGAAGUUCCAAGGCUUCCCAAUGCUUCAGUGGCUGGUUUAGAUUCACAGAUAGACAGCGAUCACAUAGUUCCAUUUGAAUACAAAGUUGCUCGUUCUCAAAACAAGAUGUGAAGUAUCAAACUAUGUUCUCACGAGAACCUGGAAACACAUGACACCGAUGUUACAAGUUACAACCUUCCUCACAAAUGCAGCUGAAAGAAAAGGGAUGUUCUCCUGCACAAAACCAGUAAAACUGUUAGCGAGGAAUGCAGAUGAGCAGUCAGGACAGCACAAUGUUACUGCACUAACACACACUCAAUAAGAGAAAAAUCUCAUCUUACCCACCUUAUCGUCAUUGAAUUCGUUGGCCACCUGCGUCAUCUCCAGCGUGAUGUAGUCCGAGGUGCUGCAAAAUAGCAAGAAGAUGAAUGGGGUUAAUCUGAGACUGAAACCAUACUGUCAGAAGACCAACACAAAGCUCGAAUCGGAACCGACCCAAAGAAAUCCUGGCUAAGGAUGAAGCAAUCCUUCUCCUCCAUGGGUCCGUCCGCGUCCAUCAGCGAGGCCUCCUGUGGCAACAGGGCCGGCAGCAGCGGCUGAGGAAGCGGCGGCGGUGGCGGGGCCGGGUCCCCGUGGUAGCCGUCCUCCUCCUCAUCCAGGAGCGUCUGGCGAGGGCACGCAGUGCGGGGAGGCGGUGGCCCGGGAGGUCGAGGGCGAGGGCCGCGUGGGACGAUCUGUUUCUAGGAUGGGUGGGAGCGGGACAAAUCCGCCGCUGCCGCCUCCUCCGCGCAGAGGGUAGGUGGCGUGCGGUGGUGCGGCGACGGUGCGUAGGAUCCUCGAGUGACGCGGAAGGGGCGGCAAAGGAGGUGCGCGGCGGGGCGGCGUAGGAGGUGGAAGCCGUGGUGGCGGUGCAGCGCUUGUGGCGGCGGCAGUGCGGCCCGAGGCUCUCGCGGGGUGGCGGCUGAAGGGAGGAGGAAGGAGGCCUCGGGAGGUGGUGGCGGAAGGAAGGAGGCAAUAGGACUCGGGGGCUGGUGAGGAUUGGCAACCGGAGAGAAACAGGAAAGGGAGCAAAAGCAUGGAGAAGAGAAGUACGUGAUACCUGAGCAACUGAGAAGCCUUGAUUCUUGAAAAAUCUUGCACCAGCUUUCCUUCCUUGGUGGAGUGCUGGAGGUGAGGGAAGGCUGCUGGAGGUCUGGCCCGGUAGGCGCCGGAUUUGGCCCCCAAAUUCCGGCGGCGGCUAGGGUUUCCCCAACCCUCCUAGAAUUCAAUUCUCCCUAAUCCUCCCCCAACUGCUUUUUCUUUCCUCUCCUUUGGAAAAGGCACCCUUUGAACUCCAGUUGGGCGCCGGGAUGGAGGCUUCGGACGCCUCAACAGCGAGACAAUGCCAUGGCAAUGUACGGAAGACUCAACUUGAUCUCCAACCUGAGCGGCUGCAACAAACACAAGUAGAAAACAAAAUUAAUCAGAUCUUCGCGCAUAGAAUGUGAAUCGGGCUCGAGAUAAAUGGCCAUUGGAUUGGAGAUUCGGGAGCGUGCGGGGUCUGAUCUGUGUACCAUGGAGUAGACGCCGGCAUAGGUGAGGCCCGAGCUGCCUCAUGGCGUCGCGUGCCGCCCAGCCGUCCUCUACCGCCGCCAUCGAGGCGCACUACCACGUGCUCUCUACGUCUGCCGCCGCCGCCGUUAGGCUAGAUGGAAUCGAGCUGCAAUGAGUGGAUGGGGAUGGAAUGCCGGUGGUGGAACAGAGCGAGGGGAGGCGGCUUCGGCCGAGCGCUGAAGGGUGGGGAUGGAGUGAGGACGGUAGCUUUGUCGAGCGGUGGGGGUGGCGGGGGAUGGAGCAAGGAAGACGGCGGCGGCGGGGGAUGGAGCGAGGGAGACGGCGGCUUCUAUUUUGCGAGCCGCUGCGAGGCCGCUCCGCCGCCCCUCCCUGCUUUCCGCCGGAUCCAGAUCCGGCACGAGGCGUAGAAGAGAAGGCGGGCAUAUCUCGGCAGAAGGGUGGCGGCGGGGGGAGCGCAGAAGCUGGCGGCGGACGGGACUGCAGACAGGACCUCCUUCGCCUCUUUGUUUUGGAGAAAGAGAAGCAUUUUUCUCUUUAACCCCCUCCCUUCCCUCCUUUUUCCACCCGAGCCAUUCCUCUCUUUAGAAUAUGGACUGCGGGUUGAUUCCUUCAAAGUUGAGGGACUUUUUUGCAAAAUGACCACGACGGACGAAAAUUGCUGGCAGAAACGUUACUCGCUUUAAUAAUAGGUAUAGAUUUAUUGAUCAGUGAACCAUUGCGGGUGGGUAGCGAGAAAGCAUUUUUUAUAUGCCAAAUCUCAGUCUCCAACCGGCAAGAUGUGGUGGAGAAUGCGCUAAAGCACUCUUGCUCUAGUUGCUUAAUCCGUUGCUUGUUUGGAUAGACUACAAUUAUGGAACAAUGUAGAGUGUGUAAGCAAUAUUAGGUGGCUCUCAAAAGAGUUGUCUGCUUCCCACGGCAAUGCUCCAUUGCCUACUCUUAGAGCCGUAUCUUCUGAAAAAGAACUAAAUCACUGAAUUCAAUCUUGUCAAUGCAAUAGUGAGUUUUAUCCCUCCUAGAAUUACAGUACCCCAGGCUUGUACUGAUUCGCGCACCAUACUAUAACCCCGGUACCAGUGUGAGUGUACCAUCCACAAUGAAAGGGCCGAGGCUUUUUUGAACGAUCUCAAUGAGCGCUUCACCCAUCACUGGUGAAAAACCUACCUUAAUCCCAUUUGGUAAGCGUAUGUCUCGAAGGACCAACCAGGACUAAUCAUUCGGGACAAAAGGUCCCCUCUUUAGUCUCGAUUGGUAUUACCAACCGGACUAAAAAGGUUUCAAAAAAUUUUAAAAAAAAAGUGCCCGCUCCGCGCCAGGCCCUCGCCCGCCGGCGCCGCGGCAGCGCUGCUCCGCCCACACUGGGCCCACGCCCGCCCACCCGCUCAUGCCCCCCCCUCCGGUGCUCAGCUUGGAAGAAAGGGCCUGUGCGAGAUAAGGGAGGGGAGAGGAGGAGAUAAGGUGGAGAGAGAGGGGGGAGACUAAAGGCUCGAGGAAGUGUUUAGUCCCCGUUGAAAACACAACCGAGACUAAAGGGGGGGCCUUUAGUCCCGGUUGGUGUUUUCAACCGGGAUAAAAAGCCCCCUCGUUCCACUAGCCGUUACAACUGGGACUAAAGGGGUCUCUUUAGUCCCGGUUGAUAUUACCAACCGGACUAAAGAGGCCCCCGUCGGUGGCCAUCGGUGGUGAAUUUUUGACUCAGGACUAAAGGCUCUUUAGUCCUGGGUCCAAAGACAACCGGGACAAAAAAAACGUUGGAUGGAAGGUCUCUUCUACCAGUGCAUGGAAAGAUCACAAAGAACUAUAAAUAAAGCUAGGCAACAUCAACAAGAGCAAUUCUCAGUUAGCUCUUCUUUCACAAAACACAAAUCCUUUUUGUACGAACGUGUCCUUGUUGACGACUAUUAGCGCGCCAAUUUGAACCGCAAGCGCACGGAUCAGUGUAGCUUUUCCCUUAGAGUAUUCAUCCAAGGUUUAUCAAUCCGUGGAAACAAGGUCACAAGAUCUAGACUAACUAAGCAUCGGAAAACAUGAUUCUGGUUGCAGGAUGGUUGUGAAUACAGAUGAAUAGACAUGAGUAGAUACGAAGCAUGAGCAGAUAUGAACAAGAGGUAACUCAUCGAAAGCAAAGCCUAGACUAUACAUAUGUUGUAGUUCUAGCUAGAUGGCAACCAAACACAUGGUUCUCAUUCAAAGCAUCUUCAAACCACCACCUCCGGUAUGACUUCCAAAAACCCCCGCCUUACACGGUAUGAGACCCUAUCAUGAUCCUACCUAUCAGCGCACAAAGUCUAAGGGCAUGAAAAUAAAGCACACGUCUAGCUGUUAUGAUAAAUCAGGCAUGCAAAUCUAGUCACCAUGACUAUAAGAACACCAUAUGCAAUCUACAACAUUUAUAGAUUGGAAUAAGCAAACUCAUAAUAGUAGAAAUCAUAGAAGAAGGCAUAUGGAUCACUAUUGAAUCGAAACUCAUCUAUUACUUUACCAUGAAUGAUUGUUCAUGACAAUAUCUCUACUGAGGCCAUGCCCGCGACUUGUGAAUCCUAGCUCCAGAGCUCCGGCGUGGAUCUUCCUCGCAGGGUGAUCACACCUUCCAAAACCUAGCCUAAGCUAGCCUUCAGACAACUGCGUGGCCCUCAGCUCUCUGUAGAUGGUUGUCCCUCAAGUUCCUCGGCUCAUUUCGCUUCGAAUCUGAACUCAUAUGCCUCGUACCGAUGGAAAAUCGGGGUAUUUAUACCCUACAGAGGUUGUCAUCCAAAAGGGAAGUCAAAUGGUCGAAGGAAAGGCCCAAGCCAAUCGGCCUAGGGGUGUCUAGGCCGAUCGGCCCAGCCCUUCCUUUUACCCCCUCGCGUCCAACUUUAUCGCCAAGUCUUCUCUAAUGUUCUAGAAGCUUAUUUUCACUUGCAUGUAGCCUAGCUUGAUGAUAGCUUCGGGAUAAGAUCGAUCCUUGAUAACUUUCCAAAUCUCUACUUGAUCUUCUUUGAUCCCAAACUCAUCUUGCCAUAUCUUGUGAAACUUAGCCCCUAAGUCUUCUUGGAGGAGUGCUCGCCAAAAAUGAGCAUGAUCGGGGCCCUGAAGACCCUAGGCCAAUCGGCUUGGGCUCCAUAGGCCGAUCAGCCUAGGCCCUUUUUGGGCCCGUUGGCGUUCGUCUUUCUCUGGGUUGUUGCUUGUACAGGACCUUGUCCAAUUAUGCUCCAUUAUAGUCUAAUUUCCUACGAAAACAAAAUGUCCUGCAAAAUACAAUGCAUUUGCAAAAACGGCUCGAUUAUUGAGUAUGAUCAAUAGUUAUGAUAUCAUUUGUAUGCCAAUAUUGAAGAUAAACAGGGGUAAAAGUGUGUCAAUAAUAAGCAUCAACAGUCCUUCAUACCUCUUCAGUCCGUUUUCACUCCGUUUAGCUACCGGAGUUGUUUAGCUUCCUUUCAUGGUACUUGUCAUAGGUAUAGAUGUCUAGAUGGCCCGCGACCCGACAGGCUGCCCGGAAGCCCUUUUUUUGGCUCGAUCCAAGCCUGGCCCAGCUCGGCAGCCUUUGUGCUCGUGCUAGCCUGGCCUGUUAGCUCGUGCCGGGUGUGGGCUGUCACCCCAGCACAUCAGGCGGCCCAGCCCAGCACGUAGUUAACAAGCCGGCCUGGUAGCGGCCCGCCUCUCCGCCAACGGUCGGGAGCCUGGGGAGGGGGCAUAUAUAAUCCCCCCCAGCGGCUGCCCCUCGCAACCCCACUCCCCCAACCCUAGUCGCAUUCCCUACCCGUCUUCGCCACCUCCUCGGCUCUCCUCUCUCUUGGCUCCUCCGUCGCCGCCUCGCCUCCGGCUCUGGUGAGAUCUCUGGCUCUCCGCGCUGCGGGACCGCGACUUUGUUCCGCAUCUUGCAUCUCUUCCUCCUGUCUCCUCCUCGGCUCCUCCUCUACUGUCUUCUUGUCACCUUCUAUCCUCCUCCUCUAUGCCUCCGCAUCUCGCCACCGUUGGUCGUCAUCUUCACUAUCUUGCCGUCGACCUCUCAUCCUUCUCCGGCUCCGAGCUCCGGCUGCACAGGUAACUCCCUAACCCUAGUCCUUGGAUCUAGAUCUCGAGUUCUUGUCAUCUCAUUUUUGUGUUUGUGUUCUUGUUCUCGUGUUCGUGUCUGUUUUCUUGACUUUCCUCAUCUGCUUUUGCUUGGCUGCAGGUCUCGGGCUGGUGCGCCAUGGGGUCGCACGCUGUUGAGGAAUGGAGCUGUCGAGGGCGGAGGUGGAGGUGGGCUGCAGCAUAAGGUCGUCGUGAUGGACGACAUGGAAGAGUACACCAUCAACGAUGACCUCAGGGCCUGUGGGCUGCCCGACGACGACGAGGAUGACCUAGCUGCCAGUGGUGAGGAUUGUUGGGUAGCUCUGUUGCUCCGAUCAAUGUGGAUGGCGGUGAUGAUGCCAAUGCUGUUGGAGGUGCAAGUGCUGGUGUCGGCGCGUCUGCGACUCAGACGCCGUCCACAAUGCUAUCCUUGACACCAUCUGCCUCUACUAGCACUAGUUGUCGAUUGAAGCAUGCCAGGUCUGCUGCCUGGAACGACUUCGAGGAUAUCUAUGAGACUUUGCCCACCAGCAAAAAGGUGAGAGUUGCUGCUAAGUGUUGUCAUUGUUCUCAUGUUCUUUCUAGGCGUUCUUCUGCUGGUACUGGGUAUUUGCUCCGGCACCAGAAGGUAUGUGUUGCUCAAGCUAAUCAUGUUGCUCUAGUUUAGUCUCAUCUUCAGUUCAAUGCUGAUAGUUCUAUCCAUACCUGGGAGUAUAAACAUGAUGUUGCUCAUAGGGAGUUGUGUCGUUUAAUUGCUAGACUUGAUUUGCCUCUUGGUUUUGGUCACAAAGAUGCAUUUGAGGAGUACAUUCAGCGUGCUCACAAUCCUCAUUUUGCUAGAGUCUCUAGUCAAACCACAACUAGAGAUCUAGAAAAGUAUUUCUUGGAUCGCUGCGCUUCUCUAAUUGAAUGUUUGAAAUUUGUUUCUUCUGUUUGCCUGACAUCUGACAUUUAGGACUGCAAUUUCUUAUUUGAACUCUUCUAACCAACGCAUUGCUGAAUUUCAUAACUUUUGCAUUGUUAAGGGGUACGCCCUCGUAAGUUUGGUUUGGAUAUGGAUGUGAGAUGGAAUUCUACUUAUCUCAUGCUCAAGCACCUUAUACCAUACAAAUACACCUUCUCUAUCUUUGUUGGUGCUAAUUAUGACUUGGUUAAUGGUGAGCCACUACUCAGUGAUAGUCAUUGGACUAUUGCUAAGAAGAUUAUGGAGUUUCUUGAAAUGUUUUAUGAGUCACCUAUUGUUUUAUCUGGUGUUUACUAUCCAACAAGUCCUUUGAUGCUGCAUCAUAUUAUUGACAUUGCUGGUCAUUUACAUGACAAAGAGACUGAUUCAUUACUCAGUAGCAUUGUUACUCCUAUGAAACUGAAGUUCCUCAAGUAUUGGCAGAAUAUCCCUCUUUUGGAUCCUAGAGCCAAGAUGAGAGGUUUUCAUAGUGUUCUCUCCAGUUUCUUUCUCAGACCAUUGGUGUUGAUUAUUCUAGUUACUUCAGUGAGGUAAGAAGUGAAUUAUAUAAAUUGUAUAACAAGUAUGAAAACAAGUUUGGUGCAUGUAGGUUACAGAGGCCCCCUCAAGUAGCAGGAUCUACCGGUAAGAAAAAAACAGCAUGGGGUAAGAUAUUUGGGGCUCCUGGUACUACUUCCAGUGGUUCUGGUUCUUCAAAUUUUGCAUAUACAUCUUCUCUUGCAGGCUCCUGGUACUACUUCCAGUGGUUCUGGUUCUUCAACUGCUCUAGCAUCUACAUCUUCUUCUGCUAUAGCAUCUGUUUCUGAGUUGUCUUCUUACUUGGACAGCGACACAAUCACAUGUUAUGAUGAUGAAUUCAACAUUCUAAGUUGGUGGUAUGAGCACAAACUUACAUAUCCCAUUCUGUCCAUACUAGCUAAGGAUAUUAUAUAUGUUCCAGUUUUCAUUGUUUCUUCGAAGUCUUGCUUUAGUCUAACUGGCAGGGUGAUCGAGGAGCGGUGACGGCGGUUGCUGCCUCAUACGGUGGAGAUGUUGACCUGCAUCAACGACUGGGAGUUAGGAGAUGCAAGGGCACAACAAAAUGGGCCUACAAACUGGACUGCCACAUCAGCAUCCACAUUGGCAGCCAUGUCAGCAGACAUGUUAGCCUAGUGGUGACAUGACCAUUCAAUCCAUGACAGUUAUUUUCGUCACUAAUUUUGGGCUUGGGUUGGGCUGUGCGGACCUAAGUCUAUUUUAUGACGGUUUAGAAACAUCACGGAUUGGGUCGAUCUGUGAUGAUUAUGCAGAACCAUCACAUAGGUUAAUCUGUGACGCUCAAUACAUGACAUUAUCAAAAAUCAUCACAGAUGUUGUUUUAUGACGGUUUUUCGGUGAUCUAUGAUGAAAUUUGACCGUCAUGAUUUACAGGUUUUUUUAGUGUUGCUGCCUCUUUCUUUAUGCGAGGCGUCUAAAAAGGCAGAGGGAGAAGAGAGAGUCAGCUAGGGUUCUCAGUGAGGGCGUCACUAGUUUUAUUCAAGCUACGGGUGUCGGCGUCCAUCGGAUUGAGAGGGAUGGCUGAGAUCACGCAAGGAUUAAGCUGGAUCUGUAGUUGUUUUUGCCGAAAGUGGGGGUGCGCGGGAUUUAAGUGGGCUAGGUUGAAUACAGUCCGUGGUUGUUUCAACUCCAAUAAUUUAUUCUUUAACAUUUUCGGCUGCACAACUACUAGUAUAAGCUGCCCGAAUCACAUUAAAGUUUUAUGUUGAUAUUUAUUUACCGCAUUUUUCAUGCAUUACUUUUUUGAGAAAACAGGAAGGGUUACCCCUACUGAUUAGAUACAUAUAUUUAAAGGAGAAGGACAAAAAAAACAAGUUUCGAGCAAGAAAAAAGAGAUAAAGAAAAUUAGCAAAAUUAUAAUAGAGAAUAGUGCUUGGACUGUUCCUUUGCUCGUAGAAUAACUAGAGCAAAUUUCCUUUUGAACCCAAACCAACAAGGAGAAAUAUUAGGUUGGAUGCCAUUGAAAAUCAAGUCAUUCCUUGCCAAUAUUAAGGUAUUUUUAUAAAUAAUUGUUAUUACCAAUAAUGAUAAAUUACUUUUGGACAUUUGAUACAUUUUAAAAAUAAUCAGUACAUGUCAUAAAUCUAGUUCUCACCAUGUGUUUUGGUCAUGCUUAUUGGACUAGGGGCAUACUAGGAUUUUUCUUUUCAAUGGAUGAGCAUAUUUUGCUUGUAAAGAUAUAUGAUCCUUCUUCCUUCCAUUCAUGUGGUAGCACCGUAGCAGGCUGCCUGCAGCCUAUGAGAUGCCAUCAAUGUAUCAUGCGUGCAGAUCUUGUACACCAUGAAAUGAAAGGCAUGCAGAAGAAGAGCAGGUCGAGGAGAGGGGUGAUGCUUAAGGCCGGUACGACUUUGGAUGAAUAUGAUCAACGAGUAAGGUUAGUAAUUUAGUAUAUAUGUUGAGUCAGGGAUGUUGGUACUAUUUUUUGUACAAAUUAGUAACACUAGCAAAUAAAUGUCCUAAUUAACGUUGCAAACUUGCAAAGGUCUCAGACGAAGGAUUAGAUGGAAGGAGCAUGAAUGUGAAUCAUUCUUUUUAUGUGGACUGUAUCUUGUAAGGGAGCACAAAAUAAAAACAACACAAUCGAUUUUGAAUUGCAAACUCCAAAAGUAUAAUGUAAAUUUAGCUAAUCUUCCUUUUAAAUAAUCAUUUCAAGAUAACCAUAUCCGUGUAGUUUGUGUAGACGUACUUAGAUAAAACAAAAUAAUGAAAAUUGGAAUAUUCUCUAACUCACCCUCACACUUUAGAAAGUUGAAAAUGGACAUUCUCUAGGAAGGACCUCGGUCUGAAUCCAUUGAUUUAUACAACAGGUUUUCAUAGCGAUGGACUUCUUAGCAGGGAGUAUUGUGUCGCAUCGCACAUCGUGCUUUUCAUGGUUUCUCUUUGCUUAUUUUUACUCGGAUGUCAUGUUUGCAUGGAGAAAACAUGGUUGUAUAGUACAUACAAGUUAAAGGAAAAUGGCUGAAUGCUAUAUGAAGGAUAUCUUCACAUUAGGAAUGAGAAGUACAAGGCUAGGAAAGAGAGAUAAAAAAAGUUACAUCACAGUUUGGGGAAGAGGCAAGUAAUAUUUCAGUGGCACUUUGCUAAAGAAAAUUGUGUUUAUAGUGUUAUCAUUCUAUCCAUUAUUUCUCUAAACCCUCUAUUUUCUUUUGCUACAACUCUUACAAGAUGUUGGGGGAAGUGGCAGGUUGGUACCGGUGGUGCACAAGCACAUGCACGUGUUGCAGGUGAUAGUGUUUCUAGGGACAAAAGAAAAGGGUCUAAAGAUUAAAGGUCAAAAUUAACGUUCAAUGAAGCUCUUUGUGCUCCAAUGUCUGAAUCUUAGCGAGCACCAUUGGGUGCAGAAGUUAUGAAAUCCUUGCUGAAUGGUCCCUCUUUCUUGGCUUGAUAUUCUUGAGAUUAAUCAAGAAACACCAAACAGCCCUGAAAAUAGGAUAUGCAUUUUGUGCUACGAUAAGACCAUGUACAUUUUUUUAAUAAACAACUCAAAACACUCGUCAUAACCAGCAAACUAUACGGCUUUUAGAAACCCGUAUCUUUAGAAACCGAUAUCUUAUGUGAUUUUCGGUGUUUGAGAUUGGCCAUCGGAUGCUUAUCCUUCUCACUUCUUAGCCCUAGCCUGCAUCCCGUGAGUCGUGAGUUUGUGACCCGCCGCGGCCCCCGACCUGGAUGUGCGCUACACGCCGCACCGGCUACAGCGCCGCCGCCCCCGCGCCGGACAUGCGGACACAGAUCGGGUGCGAUGGUAACUGCCACUGCAAGAUAAGAAGUGGCCACAUCUGAGCCAUCGAAUGGACAAGCAACGACUAGGAUCGGAGUCCUUGUUUCUUCUCUUCUCCUAUCCUUUCUCUGCUUCACCCGGACGCCGCAAGGAUGCCACGCCGUCACCUACUCGCCUUCGUGAGAGUCAACGCUCCUCCAAUGCCUCUUCCUGCCGCUCGGUGGAGGCACCACUGCUCCUCUUGCGCCGGAGCAGCCGUCCUCAUCCCACCUCCUGGAGGCGCAACGCCGGCGCCAAGCCAGGCGCACAUAUCCAAAAAGGCCAAUGCUGCGCCAUGGACGAUGCCCGGCAGCAGCUCGAGGAAUUGCCGACAGGGUCUGUGCGUGGUCCAUCCGACGUGCCAGCGUGUUAGUUAACUAAUUUCUGCAGAGCUGAAUUACAGUCGUAAAUGAGCAAAUCCGAUCGAUGUGUUGCUUAAGCUUUGUGUCUCAUCGCAAGCUGCUAGCACGUCAAGCUGCACAAUCUGUGUCAAGCUGGAGCGCGCCUGUUGCCGCAGCGCCGGUUGCGCAGAGCCGGCAAUUGACAGAGGGACAUGCAGGGCCAAGAGCCACAAGGUCGUCGGCCCGUCGCCGCGGGUCUCCUCACCAUGCUCGAUCGGUGGCGUUCACGGUUCAAUUCGUCGCCGUUGUGCAAGUCCUGUAGCGGUGGCGAGACGUGCGUGCACCUGUGCCUCUGGCGAGGUGUGCAUCGUGCCCAUCCGGCAUCCUAAAUUAAGGCAUGUCUGAGGUCCUGGGCAAGGAAGACAUCAGGGAGGAGGUGCAGCACCUGGACAGGAGAGAGGGAGGCGUGGGGAGUGGGAGUAGAGGAAGGAGAAGGGAGCUUGAUUUGUUUUGCACGUUGGAUGAUCUUUAGAUGGCUGAGAUCUUGCAACUGCUUAAGUUGCAGUAGCUAGUAUAACUGCACUGGAUCCAGGGACCCCGCGCCCGUGGCCUCGCCGUCGCCUUCUCAGGUCAACGCCGGACCGCGAGGCUUCCCCAGACCGACGGCGACGCUCCCCUCCCCAAGCUCACCCGGGCGCCUGCCGUUCUCUUACAGGCCGGCGAGGUAAGACCCAGCCGUCUCUUGCUCCACAGCUCUCUCUUCUCUCCUCCGACGGUUCGUGCUCGUCCAAUUCUGGUGGGUGGUGGUAGACGGCCGGCGACGAGGCGGGUCCUCCUCCUCAUUCCUCUCUCGGAUUGAGGCAUGGUGGUGGCUGGGUUAGGGUUUCCGGUUCGGGGUCGUCGGGGGAGGGCUCCAUGGCGGGGUCGAGGCGGCUGGAGUGGUAAACCUAAAUUGUACAUUGAAUUGGCAUGACCAAACUGGAGUGGUAAACCUAAAUUGACAAAUUGGAGAGCUAAUAACACGCAUAUGCUGAUUCUGUCACAGAUCACACUGGGAAAUAUGUUUUAAGUUGGUUUUGGUGUAAAUAAUUCUGAAAACACUAAUGGAUAGAUCAACAUAAGAAAUUGUAUCAAUCAACGAGGCUUUUUAUAGGGUAUCUCAGGUACCCAAAUUUGAUAUAUAGGGAUGGUAAAUUAGCUCUAAAAAAUUAAUUAACCAUUACCAGCCCCAGUUGCAGUUACAGUUUGUUGAGGCUCUUGUUUUGUAGACAAUAAUUGUUUAAUCCUAGAAGCUAGUAUUACAAGGAAAAAGCAAAAUGAAACACAUUUGUCUUAACUGAGAGUUAUUUUCUCAUGGGAGAUAGAUCUGUUUACAGUUCUUUGAACAGUCAAAUCCAAAUUUCCUUCAGAUUUUGAACACUUCAGCUGAUUGUUGGAGGGGCCACGGCCCCCUCUGGCUUGUGCUAGGCUCUGCUACUGGAUAGCAAUUUCUGAAUCAAUCAAUGGAGCGUGUGAGAAGGGCUGUGCAUGCCGGUUCUUGGUACACAAACAAUGGUACUUACCUUCCAGACCCCACAAUAACAAUUUUGCAAUUCUUUUAAUCUUUUAUCUUGUUGCAUUUUAGAUGCUGCUUGUUUUGCUUGUUUGAUCUUAUUCAACACUUAAUUUACAUAAUUGAUGUAGUUUCGACACUGGUCAUUAUUGAAGAAAACCGUAACCGUUUAGUUAUCUGACAGUUUAUUUGCUUGGAGUGGAAUAAUGUGAUACUCUCUCUGGUUGAAUUACUUGUUGUUUUAGCCUCUUUUACAUUCUUUAAAAUACCUGUUCUACAACUUCUAGGAACGCGUGGCCCAUUUUUUUGCCAGUCUUACCUUCCUUGAUUGCAUCAUUGUGAACUUCUUUCCCCAUGCAUGCAUGCUUUAGAGAACAUUAAUUGAGGGUAGGAUGGUGAUUUUAUCUACCUCUUCAGCUCUUGCAUCCAAGUCUAAAACAACAAGUAAUGUGACUAGGAUGAACUACAUCUUUUUUGUUUUGCAUUCACCAACUUUAGCAUUGCCCCAAAAGUUGUCUCAAGAUGACAUUCAUAUUUUUGCAUUUGCCACCUUUGAAAUUUUCUUCCCGCAAUUUUUUAUAGAAUGUCCGUUCUAUAAAUAGUUGUUCUUGGCCAUAUAGGUAUAACUAGUGCUGAAGCCACAUAAUUAGCCUAAUUGUUCUGCAUUAUCAGUUUAUCACUACAUGGUGGGUGACACAUUGAGUACCAGGCCACUGGUUUUAUAAACUUCCAGGACAUCAAUGAUUGAUGCAUGCAGGACAUUGUAUUUUGCUGUUCAUUAAUCAUAUUUAUAACAAAAUGAAAUUAAUCACUGUAGCAUUUGCGUCCUGUAUUCUUUUCAAUGCAGCGAACAAAUGCAGAGGCUACUUGUUGAUUAACUUUUAGGGAUGUGAACAAUGCUUACUAUUUCUCCUUUUGAUUAAAUCUUUGGUUUUGCUAUUUUGGUUGCCCUAUCCUAAAAUCUAAGCACUGCUUGAUGUUCACAAUUAGCCAGGAAGCUGGAAGAGGAACUCGAUGGUUGGCUGGGGGCAGCUGGUCUAACCAAGUCUCCUGAUGUUAGGGCUGUAAUUGCACCGUAAGUUGGUGUUUAUUGUAGGAUGUUAGAUUUAUGCUGAUUACUGUUCUGUUGUAACAUUCUUUACUUACCACUACAGCCAUGCUGGUUAUUCAUACUCGGGGCGCUGUGCAGCUUAUGCCUUUGGCAACAUCGAUCCGACUAACAUGUGAGUUAUCUAACACAUUACCAUAGUUUUCUUCUAAUAUCUCCAGUUCUAAAAACAAAUCAAUGCUCUUGUUGAUUCAAUCAGUGCUCAGUGUCAUGGAUGUUUUCAUAUCUAUGUAAAAGCUAGUCUUGUCAACACAAUAGUGGUCCUUCAUUUAGGUGAAAACAAAUGUCAUAAAAUGCAAACAAUAUAAUGGAUUCCAUUUUUAUCCUCUUAAGUUGCUGCUGCACUGUCCACUGACCACUAGUGCAUUUGGUCCUCUCUCUGGGACACUAACCCCUUUAGAGAGUAAAAUUACUAUUUUCAUUACCUGUACCAGAAUGUACCACUUGCGUCACUUGGAUGAUGUUAACAGCAGUUAGUUUAUUGCAAACAUUCUUCUGUAUCAUUGCCACACAUGUUUUCAAGUCAAUGCAAAACAUUAAGUUUUUUACAUUGUUAAAUUUCAAAUACAAUGUAUUAUAACCUGCUUGGUUCGAUUCCAAAUAUUGCCAAGCCAAAAUCACGGCCAACCAAAAUCAUGACUUGCCAAAAUCAGGGAAGGCCAGACUUAGGGCAUGAAAAUUUGGUAUUCACUUGGUUUGGUGACAAAAUAUGGCUACCAAUGCCUUUUCUUCUUGCGAGCUUCAAGAAGUUUCUAGUUGCUAGCCAUGAUUUUGGCUACAAAUAUUGGUAUGCCAAUCUUUUGGUUGUAAACCAAUUGGUAGCUAAAAUUCUUAGGCUUGCCCUCAUUUUGGCUUGGCAAAUAUUGGGAGCCAACCAAGCAGGCUUUUACUUUGUAUAUUGUAAUUGGUAAAGGCUAGAAGUGAAGUGAUAUUCGCACAUUAUUUCACUGUUGUUUCCAUAAAUGUACUUCAUCUACCCCUCAAAAAAAAUGUGCUUCAUUCUACACUCUGACAUCAUUCUAGGAACUUUCAAAACAUGUGCAUGAUUGGUUAUUGUAAUUAUUUCUGUACAUAUGCUUCCUAACCAUAUAGUAUCUUUUUUUCUUCUCUGCAUGUGUUUCAGUUCUCGGGUGUUUCUUCUUGGCCCUUCCCAUCACUACUACACUCCAAAAUGUGCUCUAACCAGGGCUACUGUCUAUUCCACCCCAAUUGGGGAUUUGCCAGUAGACCAGGAAGGUGGAUGACUCAAUCUGGAUGCUUGACAUUUUUCAGCCAAGUUCUGUAUUACAUGCUGUACAUAUUAUACAUAAUCAAUCAACUAGUUUUCAUUAAGAAUAAUAUGUUUUGCUAAUGGUAUCGUGUGUAUGGUGUUGCCUGCAUAUUCCCUUUGUACUAUUAUUGAUGCCUGCUCCCUGGUUCUAAUAUAGGAUGCAAUGUGAUCAGUAUUACAGGGAUUGUAAAACUACAUUCCACAUAAUCCUGGGGUUCAUCACUGUUAUAACUAGAUAUAGACAUCAACAUGCAUAAUGAGACAUCUCUAGAUAUUUCUCUGAUAUGGCCAGUAGGUGUUGCUUGAGCUUGUGAUGACCUUGAAUAGAUUAUUUAGCCCACCGUGUCGAUUCAUUCUAAUUAUGCAUGAUGAGUUUGUCCUUUCAAUGAGGCCAAUCCACUUCUUUGUGAACAUUUUAGUACAUUAUUAUACUAAUUUUCCAGAUACUGAGGAACCGCUGCACAAAAAAGUUUAAAUUUAAUGUAUUCUAUCUUAAUCUACUGGUUUCCACCUUUGCAGUCAUUGAGGAACUCAGCGCUACUGGAAAAUUUGAAUUUAUGGAUCUUAGUGUAGAUGAAGCUGAACAUAGCAUGGAAAUGCAUUUGCCCUACCUUUCUAAAGUCUUUCAAGGGUAAAUACUUUGUUAAUAUGUCUGACCCAUUUAGUAGUUUCUUUGGAGCCAAAUUCUCAUGUCUAUACAUACUUACAUUUUCUCUCUUUCUAUGUUGAUUUGACAGACAUACUGUAAAAGUUGUCCCUAUCCUUGUUGGCGCACUUAGCUCCCAAAGUGAAGCCAUGUUUGGACAGCUGCUCUCUAAAUAUGUUGAUGAUCCAAAUAACUUUUUUUCUGUGUCGUCAGACUUCUGCCAUUGGGGGUCCCGGUAAGUGAUUAGCGUUUAUGUGUCUGCUUACUCAUGUUUCAUGCUCGUAUUAUCAUGGGGAAAGAUUAUGAAUUCUGGACAUCCUGAGUGCAUUUCAUGCAUGUCUAUGGCGUACGGCAUGUCGGACCUACUGGUUGACCUCACUUGCCCUCUGCACCACUUAAUUGCCAUCAGAAACAGCCACUUCAUAUCAGAUGAGGCGGGAGAGAGAGCAGUUGCCAUUGUCGUUCUUGAGCCACUGUUUUCAGUAGUCCAAUACUCAUGUUGUUGCAGCCUGUAGCUUACAAUAAUUUGUUGUAAAAAUCUCAGGGCAACAAGGAUAACUAGGGUAAUUUCACUAUGGAAAUAGAAAAUUGAGAGGACUGAUAAAGGGCCAAGGGAGUAUAGAUAGGAUGGGGAAGGAAACCUUGCAAUUUUCUUUCUUGUUUUUUCCUCUUGCAAGCUUCCCCUAUUUAAGCUCAAAAGGGUAUGACUCUUGUACCACGCCAAGCCCAUUACAACACAACCCCAAGCAUUCCCAUUUUACUUCCUCACACUUGUUUCUUGUUGCACAGCACUCUCUGCUUCACCUGGUGUGACAGCACCGUCCCCUUGAGAUGCAGCUUGUCCUCAGUCGCUGCUAUGGUUUUUAAAGCGUUAAGGCGAGGUGAGGUGAGCCACCACCGCCUUAUCGCCUAGGCGGGCUAAGGCGGGAUAAGGUGGGCUAAGGCGACACCUUAGGCGAGGCGAGCCACCACCGCCUUGUCGACUAGGCAACGCCUUAAGGAUGCCUUAGAAACACUGGUUGCUGCUACAAAUUUUUUUGGGCAGUGCACAAUAAUGCCCUAUUCCCAAAUAGCCAUGAGAACUCUACCUCAGCCGGAUCUGUAGUGAAAAAAUUACCUCUCUUACCAAACAAUGGUUCAGUAUAACCAUUUAGCUUGUCCAUAGGUUUGGGGAUGGUACGCUGAACUAAGCUGUAAUUUAGUGUCCAGACCAGCUAGUGUUUUGUCUUGAUCUUAGACCAAGGCUCAUUUACUUAUAUAUUAACAUUAUUGUUAGGUUAGAUUAUGGUGAUUACAUGUUCUGGUUUGUAUUAGUGCUAUUAAAGCGUUAAAGAAAGGCAAGGCACUAAAAAUAAACUUGGCUAGAAUUUACCUGUGUUCACUAAGUUGGUGGACAGAGAAAAGAAAACAAUUGGUGCUUCUUAUAGUCCCAGGAGCAUAUUGGUGGAUAAGUGCAUAAUGAUCUUUUAGUCCCAGGAGCCUGAACUGUAGUGCUAGAAUGAUGUCAGAAUGUAGAAAUAGUCCUGCAAUAACUCCAACAGAGAGUGCCCCUUGUACUGAAAUUGGUCUUCUGUUGGUGAGACUUGAGAGCCUCAAGAACAGCUCUUUUAUUUGCUCUUCUUUUAGAACCAAUGCAAAAUGCCGUGGUACAAGAUCAUUGCCCAUGAAGCCAUCUGUCCUUCCAGAACCCCAUCUCCAAUUUCAGGAAAAAAGAAACCUGCUAAAAGAAAGCCUGACCACAUUCAUGUACCUAGGUAGGGAAAAUGGACCAUGGUCGAUUGGGCUCAGUUUUUUGGGGUCAUAGUCAACGCGUUCUUAGGGCCCAGUCAUAAGAUCUUGUUAUUACCUCUUUAAGCAUAUGAAGAUUUCUUUGUUGUUGAUUUUUUUUCUUCAUCUAGUAAACAGAAAUAAAAUUUUGUUGAUCCCUUUCUCGCAUCAGGUUCAAUUAUACAUACUAUGAGAAGAAACAUGGUGCCAUUCAUAAAUCUAUUGAGGCCUUGGACCGUAUGGGCAUGGAGAUCAUAGAGACUGGUGAUCCUGUUGCAUUCAAACAAUACCUGCAGGAGUAUGAGAACACCAUAUGUGGACGCCACCCCAUCAGUGUCUUCCUUCAUGUAUGUAAACCGACUUUCUUGGCUAUGGUAGUUAAUGCUUAUUGCUUAUCCUUUAUUUUACCAUGUUCUCAUCCAGUGUGCAUCAAUUUUUUUCAGAUGUUGAAACAUUGCUCAACAAAGAUUAAGAUUGGCUUUGUUCGCUAUGAGCAGUCAAGCCAGUGCAAGAACAUGAGGGACAGCAGUGUGAGCUAUGCAUCAGCAGCAGCGAAGGUUGACCCAUCAGGGGAAGAAGAGAACAAAGAUUGAGCGAGCUAUGGAUUGUCUGAUGUAGUUGCGAAACCUUGGCGCAACAUGUGUGAUUGGUUUGCGCUGGUCCUGUCAAAUUUGUUAGCAUUGGCACGAUGCCAGUUUGUAAUAACAGGGCCUGGUUAAGUGCCGAAUGUAUCUCCGGAAACGCCGGGAGACUAGGCAAUCAAUGAAACUUUGUUUGGGGAUGUGUUUCUGUGUGUCUGCAGUCUACCUGUUGAGCCGCGUGAGGUGAUGCCUGUCUUUGAAUCAGGUAACUUUUACGCGCAAAUGUGGUUCUCUGCUCACUGAUGCAGCAUCACCAAUUGAGCUUUAGUUUGUCCGGAUCAUGUACAGUGAAACUAGCUGAUGGGGUGUUGGUUAGUACCUGCUUAGCCGUUUGGAUCAGCCAGCAAAUGAAAAUGGAACUGAUAUUUUCCAUAAGGAAAAAACUAGCGGAAGUUGAUUAGAAGGCCUCGCUGCAGCCCCGAGAAUGGCCCAUGGGCCCAUUAAAUUGGUGUGCCGUUGCCUCUUGCACGUUGUGGGCCCAUCACGUUGUGCUGCUGCACCCGCCGUCUCGCCCCCUGCGUCCCUAGUGUUCUCCCUUUCGCAGUCCCUCCCCUAAACCCUAGCGAGUUUCUAGAAUCUUCCAGAACCUCUCGCCGCCCCCCAAAGUCCCUACCCCUCGCUCAGCAGCCGGCGCCAUGGACCUGGACCCCGAGGGCAUCUUCCGCGACGACAGCGACGAGGACGAUGACAACGUGCAGGUUCGCCGCCCCUGUGUUAUUUUUCCGUCCACAUUUUUUUUAAUCUUUGGCUUAACACGCCUGCUGUGACGCCGUUUGAUUUGUGGAUACUCGAUUGCUUGCUCGGGGAAACAGGAGAGGGAGGCAAACAAAGAGAUGGUUGUCUACCUCGUUGAUGCAUCACCCAAAAUGUUCACCCCCGCGACUACCCAGGUGAGGCACUGGUUGCUUGCCACCUAAUUUGACAAGCUCGAUGCAUUUUCUUGCUGUGCGUGGCUGUUUCGAAAUUGAGGUCUAGGUUUUUUUUGGCAAGCACUACAUCAAAAUUUGGAGUCUGUUUGUUCUGGUGAGUCUUGCCAGUAGUUUGUAUCUGUUACAGUUAACUUCUGUUUUGGGGGUGUAAAGACUAAAGACCACGGGCGGGGAGUAGGUAGCUAAUGUCAUUAUCUUUUAGAGUGCUUUCUCAUGGAUUAAGCUAGUUUUAGUCAUGAUUUGGGGGAUGCUAUGGUAAAAGUAUGAGUUUGGCUGUUUUUCUUGUAUUUAGUAAUCCAUACAUUGUGUGGUUAUGUUUUGACAUAACAUUCUUUUAUGGUUUUACUUCAUAAUGUAGCAUUCUUUUGUUAUGAUUUCUUCCAGGCAGAUGAAAAGCAGGAGACACAUUUUCAUACCAUAGUUAACUGCAUUACGCAGUCUCUGAAGACACAAAUCAUUGGAAGAUCCUAUGAUGAAGUUGCAAUAUGUUUCUUUAACACUGUAUGUGCUUGCUCAACUCCGAAAGCUUUGUUUUAUUGCUUUCUAUGGUUGUGUUUCUAGGGAUUUAAUUUGUUAGAUAAUGUAUUUUUCUAUCUAAACUGUAGCAUUUUAUCAUAAUUCACAAACAUUUAUGAGGAGAAAGGGAGGACUUUCAGUUUCAGCUUAGUAGCCAAUUCUUCUAUGUGCAUUAUGUCAUAAUUCUAUUUGGCCUGUUGCCAGCUUUACUCAGUAUGCUACCCCUGGCCACAAAUAAAAUAAGUGAUAUUUUGGACACCAACACAAUACCCAAAAGGUCCAGAACACAAAGUUGACUAGUGGUUUCUACUGUAACUUAUUACGAACCUAGUAAAUAUGAUAUUAUGAUAGUAUAUUUUGAACAAAUCUACACAUGGUUAUGGAUAUCCAAUUUAAAUGUUAAUAGCCAGACUGCAUGCAUCACAGUGACCCCCCAGUGGUACUCGUUUUUUAAGGCAUGGUUACUAAACCUGUUGAAUAAGAAGUGAACUUGAAGACUACAGUGAUACAAUUAACUUGCAGUUGCAUUCAGUAUAUAAUGAAAGAAUCAGAGUCGGGAUUUGUGAAUGAUAGGUUCUGUAAGCUAGACACCGUGCUCCAUUUCAAUUGUUUUCUGAAAGGUGAAUACUUAUCUGGCUUUGCAUGAGUUGAGUAUUCACAAUUAUAUUAGAUUAUUAGUCAUUUCUUGACAAAUCUGCAACACUCCGUGCUUGUUUUCCUUGUACUAUUUAUUAACUGUGUAUGAUAGCAUUAUAAAGUAGAACCAAUGCACUGAUACUGCAAAGUAUGCUGCCUUGUGGCUUGAUCUAGUUUACUCACAACUCUUGCAGAAAGAGAAGAAGAAUUUGCAGGAUUUGGCAGGUGUUUAUGUUUACAAUGUUGGAGACAGAGAUCCACUUGAUAGGCCCACUGCAAAACUGAUUAAAGAUUUUUCUUGCAUAGAAGGUGACACCACUAUAUGAAUUGUUACUUGGUCAGGCAUGGUCAAAGUUGGAGAGAAAUGCAUGCUAAGCUUCUUUUAUACACUAAAUGUUAUGUGGACAUGUGGUUCAUAAUAAGUUUUGCUCUGUUUGGGUCUUCCUAUUUUCCCUACAUAUCUAAUAUUGUCUCCACCCACUUUCUCAACCAGAGAAGGUAGUUUCCUUCUAUGGUUUACCUUUAUGUCCUAACUUGUGUAGCAAACUAUAUGUGCCUAAAUCAGGCUAGAAGGUGUGAUAAAAAAGAAAUCUAAAAUCUGACAUCAGGUUGGUUUUGUGUUCUUAAAAAUUAAGUCUAAUGUGAUGGCUUAGCAGUACUCCCUGACUAUAUUAUCAUAAUCAUCAGGUUUCUAGUUAAUUUUGUUUUGACCUCACGAACAAAUUUGAUGGGUGUAUCAUAAGAUGAUAAGAAGUAUACGAGAUACUUGGUGUAUUAAAUAAAAGUCAGCAAAAUUCUGUUUUAUUUCUGGUUCUAAAGCUUGUUUCAACUUAUGGCAGAUUCUUUCAUGAGCAACAUUGGAAGUCGAUAUGGAAUAACUGCUGGAUCUCGGGAGAACACCCUUUAUAAUGCUCUUUGGGUUGCACAAGCACUGCUGCGCAAAGGGUAUGUCCACUUCCCUCCUUUUGCUUUUAUGCAGUGUCAUAAUUUAAUAAAUCUUGUGGGCUAUUAACAUGUUCUGUAGGAUUUAUACCUCUACCUUUCCUGGAGCUGGAGUAAUAUGCGCACUGUGCAAACUAAUCUAGGUUGCAGCAGUUUAUGCUGAAUGUUGAUGUAGAUAUUUGUGUAACAAAGAAUGUAACAUGCCAUGAGUGCUAUGACAUCCUUUUAACGCACUUCUUGAUACCCGUCUGGACUUCAGUGAAUCCACAUUCCUCUUUUGAAAAUUUCCAGAUCUGUGAAGACUGUCAGUAAACGAAUGCUUAUAUUCACCAAUGAAGAUGAUCCUUUUAGUGCUAUUACAGGAGCUGUGAAGACUGAUAUGAUUAGGACAACAAUACAACGUGCAAAGGUAUGUCUAUAUCGCAGAUAUGUAUUGUUUCAUACUACACGGCACCCACAUAUCCAAAAUGAAAUUUUAUCUUCAUUUUUUAUCCUCUAUUUACCAUAUCAGUACUUGCUUUCCUACAGGAUGCACAAGAUCUUGGCCUAUCUAUUGAGCUACUUCCACUGAGCCGGCCUGAUGAGGAAUUCAACGUGUCCCUUUUUUAUGCAGUAAGAUUCCAUUAUUCUUUUCCUUUCCUCUCAGUGUUAAUUGCUAAGUAGAUCUGAUUUCCCAGGAUUUGAUUGGUCUGGAUGGAGCUGAGAUAACGGAGUAUCUGCCAUCUGCUGGUGAAAAGUACUGUUCUUGAAGCAUAAAUGUUACUUGUUUGAUUUUUUUUAAUUAGGUCAUACAUACUUGAUUUGCAUUUUAUUCUUAUCAUCUCCUUGCACAACCUUUCAGUCUUGAGUUGUGGAUGGAGAUAGCUUGUUCUACACAAUCACAUUUGACUAGCAUUUGUUUCUGUGUGGACUUGUCCUUUUCUUUUUUUUAACAGGUCGCAAGAGCUUUGCCAAUUCGUUUGAAUUAAUGGACAUAAUUUUACAUUACAACACCCUUUCAUGUGUACACACUGAGAGAAUAAAGGGGGAAAAAGCCAUAUGCACCACGCCUUCAUAGAAAAGUAUACAUUUAUAUUUCUAGACUUUCCCGUCAUAGAAAAAUGAAGUUUGUCAUGUUGGGAACUUUUGUUCUGAGUUCUCCAUGUGUUGUUUUGAGAAUUGAGAGUAUAUCGUACUAAGGUGAAUAAGAAUUAUGAGCUGCAUUUGAGCACAUAAAUGUUUUCAUAAAUUUUUGUGGGAUUCUUGCAUGAACUACCAAUAAUAGAACUCGAAUUACUUGCAUCUGCUUGGUGCAUCUAUGAAAAAUGAUUAUAUGUACUGUAGUGGUUUUGGAGACUUAAGUUAUGUUGAUGAAGUAUUUAUUCUUUGUUAUGCUACUGGCCUGUUGAUCUCUAAUAUCAUUUGGGAAGAUUGUGCUUCCUCUGAAUGAACAUAAUUUCUUACUUUCACAUAAUUUUUUAUUGUUGUCUUUGAAGGUUGGAGGAUAUGACUGAUCAACUGAGAAAAAGAAUGAUGAAAAAGCGCAGAGUAAAAACUCUUUCAUUUGCAAUUACAAAUGAUGUAUGUAUAGAAGUGAAUACAUAUGCGCUGACCCGUCCUACUACUCCAGGCAUGCUCUAACUUUGGUCUAUUCUGUGCUUCUUUACAUAAUGUCAUUACGAGUAUAUCUAAGUAUAUGCUCGUUACUUAUUUUUGUAGGGACAAUUACAUGGCUUGAUUCAGUCAGUAACAUUCCACUAAAGGUGAGCCUACAUAAUGUCAUUACUUAGCUUUGGUGAAAUUUCAUCCCCUGCAAUCUCUUUAUGCCUGCUUUUAUAAUUCUUAAACAUAUAACGACAAUCCUUAUACAGACUGAAAGGUCUUUCAUAUGCAAUGAUACUGGGGCUCUACUUCAGGAUCCACAGAUGCGUUUCCAGAUGUACAAUGAGUAAGAAACACACUGUCACUGUCAUGUAUUUGUUUGAUUUUUCAUUUUGGGUGGUGUUUCCCUGUUGAAUUGUAUUAUCUGCCUGCUGGCUUCAACAUAAUAAAGGAAGCUCGACUGCAUGCUUGUACAAAUUGAUUUUCGUUUCAAACUCCUUCAGAAACUUUCAUUAUGAACCAUUUGAGAAAAGCCUUGGGAGUUGGCAUGUGAACCAGCCUCAGGAUGGAAGAAAUGGAUUCCUGUUGAGUAUGGCGUGUUUGCAGACAUAGAUGAUACUCAAAUCAUCUCCAAAACUCAACCCGCACCCUCAUAUAUUGAAAACUGUGCACUGUAACACCAUUGAUUUGUGCUAUGCAUACCAAGCAAGACAUUCUUGGGUCUCAUUGUUGUGUAUUUGUGAUCUUAAGUACUUACCCUAUUCAUGCAGCACGGUCGUCAAAUUUUCCGUCCGAGAACUCUCUGAGGUUAAAAGGGUUUCAAGUCAUCAUCUUCGCCUUAUAGGAUUCAAGCCAUUGGAUUGCUUGAAGGAUUAUCAUAACUUGCGACCAUCAACAUUUAUUUAUCCCAGUGAUGAGGUAGUAACACUACCUUUUAUGCUUCCGGAAUUGCACCAUUACCUAGUCAGAGUCUGAACUGGCAGUACUGCAGCUAUAUCCUUAAUGCUGAGAAUGUCUGUCAUUCUCCAUGCCGUCUUCUCUAGCUUGAGGCAGAUAAUAUAAUAGCUGAAAACUUCAAAUGUUUUUGAAUGACAAUAUUUGCAUCUUGAUUAGAUAAGAAGUCUCAACUUGACACAGUGCUUUAGAUGCAUGCUUCCUUCAACCAUGGUUUGACACUUUGUAUCAUGUAAGUUACUAAUUUAAACCAAAUUAAACCUUUGGUCAUAUCUCGAUACUCUUUUUUAGAACCCUACUGGCUGUAGAUUAAUUUAGUAAAUGCAUGGCAUAUGUACAAAGGUUACAGGAAUAAAAUUACAAUAAUGUAGAAUAUCUACAAGACCUGACUACAGGAGCUGAUAAUACUACAGAACUAAAGGCUAUACAUCAACCAAAGUUUUUUGAUUUUAACCAGUUCUCUAAAUGCAGUAAAAACGAAGUGAUGUUUUCAUAGGAUUGUUAUGCGAUAGGUAUUUAUUUCUGUCUUUUCCCCGCUCUUGCUCAGAGCUUCUAAAUGUAUUAAUAUUUUAUUCUAGGAUGCAUUUGCCAGAUACUCAGACUUACCCCAUAUGUUCUGAUGCAGCAUAUAUUUGGAAGCACACGCGUUUUUGUUGCUUUACAUAGCUCAAUGUUGCGCCUUGGAAGGUUAGUUGCCAUCACCUAUAUUUUCCUUCAACCUUUUGUGACCACUAUAUAAAGAAAAUACAAUGCAAGAAAAUAUUGACAGUUACAAUGUAGCUAUAGCUACCUUAAAUCAUCACAGUUCAUUGUGAAUUGUUUUUUAGCUCUCAUGUAACAUUUUGGCCAUAGCUUGCAAUUAUGUAAUAUAUAUGCACAGUAAAACAUAGUCACCAGCUAUGGUCGGCACUGUGUCUUGCAAUAGCAUGCCAAUUCAACUCUUGAGUCUCAGGAGAUAAGUGGUUCAGCAUGUUCAAUUUCCAUGCCUUGCCUUGCUUAGCCCAACCUUUGCUACUAAGCAAGGAAAUCCUUGCUAGUGGAGGCCCUCUUAAAGAUGAGUAACCUUUUUGUGGGCAAGCUAAGGCAAGGGAGCCUUCACUUCUUGCACAACAGCAAAUGUGCUGAGGUGUCCUAACAGAAGAAAGUUGCUUAUUUUACCAAUGUAAAUUUCAGGUUUUGCAUGUCUACACGACCAUGUUUAACAACUUAAAAUAUAUGUAUGCUUUCAGGUUUGCGCUUGCAUUUUAUGGGAAUCCAACUCGACCACAACUUGUGGCCCUUGUUGCUCAAGUGAGGGACACUUUCUUUCCAUGUUUACAUUUACUGCACAAACAGUAGCUGCUACACAGUAUUAGUUCGUCCACCAUGAUAAUGUUACAUCAAUAUUAUUGAGUACUGCACGUCAUGCCAAUUGCACUAACAAAAUUCGCUCAUCAGUUCUGUCAAUUUGAAUUGAAUCAUUGAUUGCAUCUUUGCUUGAGCUUAUAGCAUGGCACGAUGUAUGUCUGGAAGAUGGGUAGUAACCAGGCAAAAUGACCUUGCUCUAAUUUUUCAUUCUACUAAUUACCUGAAUGUAUAUUUGUAGGUCAGAUUAAUAAACCCAAAAAGUGGGGUUCUGCAAAACAUCAUUAUACAAAUCUAUUUUUAUAAGAUGACAUGAAUUGUUUGUAUGUGAUUUGCUAACAUAGACCUGCUUUCCAAAUGAACUCGGGGGGUAAAAAAAAUACAGGAAGAAGUUACUUCCUCUGCUGGUCAAGUUGAGCCACCUGGCAUGCACAUGAUCUAUCUUCCAUACUCCGACGAUAUAAGAUAUCCUGAAGAGGUAAGGACUGGCAUUUUUUUACACUUUACCGUCCGCCAUAAGAUAAGCAUCUUACAUUCUUACCUUGAUUCGCAGGUUCAUGUGACUUCUGAUGAAGCACCACGUGCAACGGAUGAACAAAUCAAGAAAGCAUCAAGUCUAUUGAAACGCAUUGAUCUGAAGAAUUUUUCUGUAUGCCAAUUUGCUAACCCAGGUAAGUAGCUAUGAAGUCAUAAUUGACGAUACUAACGUUAAGCUGUAUUUUUGGCCUCCAAGGUGCGCUGCCCCUGUGCUGCACUGUGGACUGUCCCAAUAUUUUUUUUUGAAAUGUAUUACAUUUACAAGAUGUCUCUCUAAUGUAGAGUUGUCUGCCAAUGCGAAGCACAGAUUUUAUUCUAGUUUACAUAAAUGCUCCAUGGCCAAAUGCUGCUUAUUGUACAUGCCCUAUAGCCUUUUGGGCUAACAUGUCACGGAGCAUCAAGAUGUUAUUAUAACAUGUUCAUUAACUUGCACCAUCACUGACUUCCUAAAUUAUCUGACGUGACUUCUGUUUCUUUGAUGUCAAUCAGCUUUGCAAAGACACUAUGGGAUUUUGGAGGCCUUAGCUUUAGGUGAAGAUGAGAUGCCAGAUAUAAAGGAUGAGACCCUGCCUGAUGAAGAAGGCUUGGCUAGGUACUUGUUUUCUUGGCAUUUGUGCAUGCUAAACAUGACACGGAAAGAUAAAAUAGAAAUGGCAUAUUUCAUGCUUAAAUAAGCUAAUGAUAUGCCUGUAUCCCCUACAAAAGCAAUAUGCAGUAGUCACAUGUUACCCUGUCUGUGCGUUGUGUGGGAUGUAGUUGAACUUGAAGCUCAAUAUGUUCGUUUGCCAUUCUUAUCUCAGGCCAGGAGUUGUUAAAGCUAUUGAUGAAUUUAAGGCUUCAGUCUAUGGUGAAAAUUAUGACCAAGAGGAGGCUGAAGCAGCAGCAGCAAAAGCUUCCCGUGGUGACGCUUCGAAGAAGCGGAAGGCAAUCACUGAUGCAGCCUCGCUGAAAAGUGCAGCUUAUGAUUGGGCGGAAUUGGCAGAUAAUGGAAAGGUAAGUAGUCACGUCGUCUUCCGAAGAUUAUAUAUACCCACAUGCUAAAGUUUAUUUGGCAGGUUCUCGUUCUCCUAUGAGUUAUGACAGUCUAUAUGCAAACAGAAUUCAACAUAUAACAUGUCAGUGUGAUAUGCCAAUGCAUUUAGAGACCACCUGUUUUCUGCAAAUGCCAAUAAGAAAUGGCAUGCUCAACAAAAUUCAACUAUUUAUGUACCUAAAAUGAAGCCUCUGUACAUCCUAAGCUAACAUGACAGCAAGGAGCUAUACUGCAGCUGCACUCAUAGAUCACUCCUCGUUUGGCUACGAUAGAUUUUCUUGCUCUACCUGCUGGGUUUCGAAGCAGCACCAUUCAUGUGAAACUCUACAAAUUCUAAAAAAAAUAUGUCUUUGUCAUUUGCAGUUGAAGGACAUGACAGUCGUGGAGUUGAAAUCGUACCUAACCGCGCAUGACCUCCCCAUCUCUGGUAAGAAAGAGGCACUUAUCAGCAGGAUCUUGACUCAUCUGGGCAAGUGAAGCCACUUACGUGAACUUGGUUUUCCCAAAAGCCAACUGUCCUGGACUGCUGUCUCAUGGGUAGCUUGAAAGCUUGUGUACGAUCUCCCUGUGCGUGCUACGUGCCAAUUUUGUAUAGCGAUGUUGCCAAAACCAGUUGCCAGUUGAACUUUGUUUGCUAGUUUAUCUAGAGGUCGUGUGGUUUUGCCCUUUGCAACAUGCAUCAUCGUAUUCUGCUAGAAUGGUUGGGAGACCCACUAGAUAAAACACAACUGAUUGCAUUGAAUUAAAAAAAACUAAAAAGAGAGGGGGGGGGGGGGGUGGGGGGAUCACCAGGUAUAUAUGCGCACUAUUACAAUUUGCUAAAGUGCUUUAGAAUUUACAAAAAAAAUUACAUCGGUCUUCAUUAAUAUUUGUUUAUUACUCCUUCCGUCCUAAAUUUACUAUUUGUCAAAUUUAUCUAUGUGCAUUGCAGAAGCUUCGUACCUUGAAAAAAA